Molecule: long non-coding RNA, 257 nt
Organism: Oncorhynchus gorbuscha (pink salmon)
Lineage: Eukaryota; Metazoa; Chordata; Actinopteri; Salmoniformes; Salmonidae
Exons: 3
Source: RefSeq, a predicted model, not a curated record
UUACAACACACUGACUGAAGAGAGAGACCAGCUACAGAAGGAAAGAGAUGAUCUCAUGAGAAAGUUCUCUAAUCUGAAACAAACCUGUCCUGAUGGCUGGCAGAAGUUCAACUCCAGUUGGUACUUCCUGUCUACUGAGACUAAAACCUGGAAGGAGAGCAGAGAGGACUGUCUGGAGAGAGGAGCCGACCUGGUGAUCGUAAACAGUGAUAUGGAACAGCAGUUUCUCUUAGGCCUCAAUAAGGGAGCCUGGAUUG